AAUAUACUUAUAGAUUAUCGGUGAUCAUCUCAACGAGAUUGGUUUUCUCGCUUGAGCCGGGACGGCGAAAGCGAGAAAGGCAAUCGAGUUGAGAUGAACAAUGAUAAUCUUUUUAUCGCUAUUUUACCUAUGACGACGUUGUCAAUUUCAUGUCAAUUUCGUUAGCAACACCACGUGCAUGCUUAGUUUCUAGCGAUAAUUUUCC
This 205-nucleotide long non-coding RNA is filed under the name Mytilus galloprovincialis (Mediterranean mussel). The record is from RNAcentral. Lineage: Eukaryota; Metazoa; Mollusca; Bivalvia; Mytilida; Mytilidae.